AGAGUUUGAUGGUGGCUCAGAUUGAACGCUGGCGGCGUGCCUAACACAUGCAAGUCGAGCGAGAAAGUCACUUCGGUGAUGAGUAGAGCGGCGCACGGGUGAGUAACGCGUGGAUUAUCUACCUAUUGGUUCGGGAUAACAGCUGGAAACGACUGCUAAUACCGAAUAGUCUGGCAACGGUAAAGGGGGCCUCUUCUUGAAAGCUCUCGCCAGUAGAUGAGUCCGCGUUGCAUUAGCUAGACGGUGGGGUAACGGCCUACCGUGGCUACGAUGCAUAACCGGUUUGAGAGGAUGAUCGGUCACACUGGGACUGGAACACGGCCCAGACUCCUACGGGAGGCAGCAGUGGGGAAUAUUGCGCAAUGGGCGAAAGCCUGACGCAGCGACGCCGCGUGGAGGAUGAAGGUUUUCGGAUCGUAAACUCCUGUCAGUAGGGAAGAACGGUUCAUAGAUUAAUACUCUAUGUUCUUGACGGUACCUACAGAGGAAGCACCGGCUAACUCCGUGCCAGCAGCCGCGGUAAUACGGAGGGUGCAAGCGUUAAUCGGAAUCACUGGGCGUAAAGCGCGCGUAGGCGGCUUUGUAAGUCAGAUGUGAAAGCCCACGGCUCAACCGUGGAAUUGCAUUUGAUACUGCAUGGCUUGAGUUCGGGAGAGGGUAGUGGAAUUCCAGGUGUAGGAGUGAAAUCCGUAGAGAUCUGGAGGAACACCAGUGGCGAAGGCGACUACCUGGACCGAUACUGACGCUGAGGUGCGAAAGCGUGGGGGAGCAAACAGGAUUAGAUACCCUGGUAGUCCACGCCGUAAACGAUGGAUACUAGGUGUCGGGGGGCUUGACCUUCGGUGCCCGUAGCUAACGCGUUAAAGUAUCCCGCCUGGGGGAGUACGGUCGCAAGGCUGAAAACUCAAAGAAAUUGACGGGGGGCCCCGCACAAGCCGG
This 939-nucleotide ribosomal RNA is filed under the name uncultured bacterium. RNAcentral describes it as "bacterial SSU rRNA". It matches the Rfam family "Bacterial small subunit ribosomal RNA", at positions 8 to 933 of the family's 1533-position model. The record is from RNAcentral.